This 178-nucleotide long non-coding RNA is filed under the name Struthio camelus australis. Its description in RNAcentral is "lncRNA (ENSSCUG00000006131.1)". The record is from RNAcentral. Lineage: Eukaryota; Metazoa; Chordata; Aves; Struthioniformes; Struthionidae.
AUGAUUUACAGGCAGAUGUUACCAGCUUCAAAAGUUAUUGGAGAACAGAAACAGAAGAUUUGAUUCAAACUUUAAUAACUGAGGUCCACGUAGCAGAAGAUGCUUUUUCUGACUGAUGGAGAGGCUUGGAACUGAAUGAGUGUAAGUACCAUUUUUUCCUCAGGAAAGAUAGCCUAGA